This 450-nucleotide ribosomal RNA is filed under the name uncultured bacterium. Its description in RNAcentral is "partial 16S ribosomal RNA". It matches the Rfam family "Bacterial small subunit ribosomal RNA", at positions 328 to 794 of the family's 1533-position model. The record is from RNAcentral.
UCCCCAGACUCCUACGGGAGGCAGCAGUGGGGGAUAUUGCACAAUGGGGGGAACCCUGAUGCAGCGACGCCGCGUGGGUGAAGGAGUAUUUCGGUAUGUAAAGCCCUAUCGGCAGGGAAGAAGCAAGACGGUACCUGACUAAGAAGCCCCGGCUAACUACGUGCCAGCAGCCGCGGUAAUACGUAGGGGGCGAGCGUUAUCCGGAUUCACUGGGUGUAAGGGGGGCGCAGACGGCAGCGCAAGCCAGGAGUGAAAGCCCGGGGCCCAACCCCGGGACUGCUCUUGGAACUGCGCGGCUGGAGUGCAGGAGGGGCAGGCGGAAUUCCUGGUGUAGCGGUGAAAUGCGUAGAUAUCAAGAGGAACACCGGUGGCGAAGGCGGCCUGCUGGACUGCGACUGACGUUGAGGCCCGAAAGCGUGGGGAGCAAACAGGAUUAGAUACCCGGGUAGA